This is a long non-coding RNA of Notothenia coriiceps (black rockcod), 1575 nucleotides long. RefSeq lists it as uncharacterized. The record is from RefSeq and is a predicted model, not a curated record. The transcript has 3 exons. Lineage: Eukaryota; Metazoa; Chordata; Actinopteri; Perciformes; Nototheniidae.
GUCAGCACGAAAGGAGGAUCAUGUCUCCUCUCAACAUCAGAAGUAAAUAUGUUUUGCUUUUCAUCAUUUCCCAAAAAAAUUCGACGGAUUUUGCCUAAGGUCUUUUGCGCUUUUGGUGCAAAUGUCUCAUUCCCAUUAUGUGCCUUAGCUGUUGUUCCAUCCACGUAGAAAGGAUCCCAACUUGAGAUAUAAAUGGAUUAUCCGAAACGAGCUCGUGUCAGGGAGAGAAAACUGAGCUCCAUCACAUGGUAGACGACGUGCUCUGGUGGCUUCAGAGACACUCAUCACUCAGUCUGUGGGGCAGAGGAUGCUUUCAAAACAGAAACCACUCCAUGUCUCACCAGAUGACGGCAGACUGCAGGAGGAGAUGCAGGUAAUGAAAGGGUUAAUUACAGUUAAUUUGACACAAAUACCCAUUUAAAAAUCUUAUAUUUAAUGGUGAUAUUUUUUCACAGUACUGGUUAUUAUAUUCGAUACAUCUAUAAAUCUAUAACAAGUUGAAGCUUUUGGUGACUUGGACAGCUUCCUGCAGCUUCAUAAUAAUCUGCAUUACAGAAUUAACCCUUUGUGCAAAAUAAAUGAUGUUUAAAUGUAAUCAUCACCUUCAAAGACAUGUCUUAACGAGUGAGCUUGAUUCAUUUGUGCCAUUUUUUUUAUUAAUCUGAAGACAGUUAAGGAUUCAUGUUUAAUCAUAUUGGUUUUGUAAUUAAGUAAGAUAAUAUUAAUAAAGGCUAAAUAACAAAAUACAUGUCUUCGUGGGUUACCCAAUCACUGAUCUGCAGCAACAUGGCCUUUAGUGAAUUCACUUUCACAUCACACCCACAUGCAUUAGGAAAGUCUUGGCUCAAAAUGUUGCAUGAUUUCAACAUGUGUGUGUCUCUAUGCUUAAACCACCCAUAAGAAAAUAUAAAUGUACAGUUAUAUUGGGAGAAACAUUUGACUUAGUGUAAAUAAAACAGAGUCUGUCUAAUCAGGAAGUGGCAGGCAGCUCUCACCUGCAGUGGAGUGGCCAUCUUGAAUGUUUUCUAAGAUAGCAGCAAUGCUAGGCUAAUCCACAUUUAGACAUUAUAUUCUUUUUAAAUGAUUCCCAAAGUGCGUAUUUUAUGUUUUCAUGACUUAUUUGAAUGAUUUCCUCACACUUCUUCAUGUUAAAUUACAGUUUGCUCUCUUUUUACAGAUCACAGCAUGUUUGGCAGCUGGGACACUUUUACUAAGGAAGUGUACACCCUUGAGGCUGCUGCAGUUUAAACAAUAACUAUAUUAAUGAGACUAACAUACAACAAUGAAGUAUCUUCCGGAGUUCUUCUGUUUCGUGAGUACUAAAACAAAUAAAACAGCCUCUCUCCUAACAGCUCAGGCCCAGGCAGCUGCCUUCCUGCCCAGCUAUGGCUCCCCCUAGCCGUGCCUCCAUGUUUCCUUGUUAAUGCACACCAUAAUGCCCUGACCCACCCUGAUCUAUUACACAGCAAAUACACCAAAAUAUACCUGAAAACCUCACUUUCUUCGUCUAAAUGUGUAGUAUAUAGCCUCCAUCUGCCUCUAAGCCAACAUUGGGCAGCAUUGGUAACAGCAGAA